Polistes dominula (European paper wasp) is the source of this 760-nucleotide long non-coding RNA. Lineage: Eukaryota; Metazoa; Arthropoda; Insecta; Hymenoptera; Vespidae. The record is from RefSeq and is a predicted model, not a curated record.
AAAUAUUUAUUAAUGUAGAAAAAUAAUCUUACCAUUCCCUGCUCCAUCAUUUCGGACAUCUCAAAGUACACGUACAAUGAUGGAUUAUUUUUUACACACUCGCAUACAUGUUUGGAGGUGUUCUUUUAUCAAGGUCGUCUAACGAAGUUUCAUCGAACGCAAAAGGAAACAAAAGACGUAUUUUAAAAAGACGGCAAACUCGUUACGUCGUGCUACCUCUUUCAUUCGACGAAUUUAAUCACGAACUCGGAAGGAUCAUAACACGAUGACUUUCAAUAGAUCCGAGUAAUGACUUCGAGUACUUCUUCGGGAUUUCCGUUGGUGAUGUAGUUGUUGAUGUCGGCGUUGCAAAGGACUUCCAUGGGAUACAACUUGCAAUCGAUAUGCUUUGACGGUAGACAAAGGUUGCCCUGCGUGAAAGAAGAAGGGUUGUGUUGUGUCGCGUGCAUACUGUAGCUAAUAUAUGUAUAUAUGGAUUGUAAAUGUAUACUGCAGCAGGUAUAGGUUCAGGAUAAGAAAAGAAAUUGUGAUUUAAUUAGAUAUCAAUUUUCAAUUCAUUUGUUCGGCAAUGCUUACGUCAUUGCACUAUUUAUAUAUAUAAAAGGAUGAAAUAAUUCAGUGACAGCACCCUUUUUACUUUAACGGCCUCGAGAGAACUAUAUAAACAAGGUGUAUCGACGAUCGAACAUAUCAUUUAUUUAGAGAUCGGCUUAAAAAUGUAUUUUAUCGAUCGAUUAAUAAACGGAAUCAAAUAAUUCUU